RNAcentral lists this ribosomal RNA (406 nucleotides) under uncultured bacterium. Its description in RNAcentral is "partial 16S ribosomal RNA". It matches the Rfam family "Bacterial small subunit ribosomal RNA", at positions 30 to 526 of the family's 1533-position model. The record is from RNAcentral.
AUUGAACGCUGGCGGCAGGCUUAACACAUGCAAGUCGAGCGAGCGGCGGACGGGUGAGUUAUGUCUGGGAAACUGCCUGAUGGAGGGGGUUAGCUACUGGAAACGGUAGCUAAUACCGCAUACCAUCAGAUGUGCCCAGAUGGGAUGAGCGAGUGGGUGGGGUAAUGCCUCACCAAGGCGACGAUCCCUAGCUGGUCUGAGAGGAUGACCAGUCACACUGGAACUGAGACACGGUCCAGACUCCUACGGGAGGCAGCAGUGGGGAAUAUUGGACAAUGGGCGAAAGCCUGAUGCAGCCAUGCCGCGUGUGUGAAGAAGGCCUUCGGAUUGUAAAGCACUUUCAGCGAGGAGGCGUUACUCGCAGAAGAAGCACCGGCUAACUCCGUGCCAGCAGCCGCGGUAAUUC